This 758-nucleotide ribosomal RNA is filed under the name uncultured bacterium. Its description in RNAcentral is "bacterial SSU rRNA". It matches the Rfam family "Bacterial small subunit ribosomal RNA", at positions 8 to 794 of the family's 1533-position model. The record is from RNAcentral.
AGAGUUUGAUCCUGGCUCAGGAUGAACGCUGGCGGCGUGCCUAACACAUGCAAGUCGAGCGAUUCUCUUCGGAGAAGAGCGGCGGACGGGUGAGUAACGCGUGGGUAACCUGCCCUGUACACACGGAUAACAUACCGAAAGGUAUGCUAAUACGGGAUAACAUAAGAAAUUCGCAUGUUUUUCUUAUCAAAGCUCCGGCGGUACAGGAUGGACCCGCGUCUGAUUAGCUAGUUGGUGAGGUAAUAGCUCACCAAGGCGACGAUCAGUAGCCGACCUGAGAGGGUGAUCGGCCACAUUGGAACUGAGACACGGUCCAAACUCCUACGGGAGGCAGCAGUGGGGAAUAUUGCACAAUGGGCGAAAGCCUGAUGCAGCAACGCCGCGUGAGCGAUGAAGGCCUUCGGGUCGUAAAGCUCUGUCCUCAAGGAAGAUAAUGACGGUACUUGAGGAGGAAGCCCCGGCUAACUACGUGCCAGCAGCCGCGGUAAUACGUAGGGGGCUAGCGUUAUCCGGAUUUACUGGGCGUAAAGGGUGCGUAGGCGGUCUUUUAAGUCAGGAGUGAAAGGCUACGGCUCAACCGUAGUAAGCUCUUGAAACUGGAGGACUUGAGUGCAGGAGAGGAGAGUGGAAUUCCUAGUGUAGCGGUGAAAUGCGUAGAUAUUAGGAGGAACACCAGUAGCGAAGGCGGCUCUCUGGACUGUAACUGACGCUGAGGCACGAAAGCGUGGGGAGCAAACAGGAUUAGAUACCCUGGUAGU